CCUACGGGUGGCUGCAGUGAGGAAUAUUGGUCAAUGGGCGUAAGCCUGAACCAGCCAAGUCGCGUGAGGGAUGAAGGUUCUAUGGAUCGUAAACCUCUUUUAUAAGGGAAUAAAGUGUGGGACGUGUCCUAUUUUGUAUGUACCUUAUGAAUAAGGAUCGGCUAACUCCGUGCCAGCAGCCGCGGUAAUACGGAGGAUGCGAGCGUUAUCCGGAUUUAUUGGGUUUAAAGGGUGCGUAGGCGGACUGUUAAGUCAGCGGUAAAAGCCCGGGGCUCAACCCCGGCGAGCCGUUGAAACUGGCUGUCUUGAGAUGUCGAGAGGUAUGCGGAAUGCGCAGUGUAGCGGUGAAAUGCUUAGAUAUUGCGCAGAACUCCGAUUGCGAAGGCAGCAUACCGGCGGCGAUCUGACGCUGAGGCACGAAAGCGUGGGUAUCGAACAGGAUUAGAUACCCUUGUAGUC
This 459-nucleotide ribosomal RNA is filed under the name uncultured bacterium. RNAcentral describes it as "partial 16S ribosomal RNA". It matches the Rfam family "Bacterial small subunit ribosomal RNA", at positions 338 to 795 of the family's 1533-position model. The record is from RNAcentral.